UACGUAGGGCGCAAGCGUUAUCCGGAAUUAUUGGGCGUAAAGAGCUCGUAGGCGGUUUGUCGCGUCUGUCGUGAAAGUCCGGGGCUCAACUCCGGAUCUGCGGUGGGUACGGGCAGACUAGAGUGAUGUAGGGGAGACUGGAAUUCCUGGUGUAGCGGUGAAAUGCGCAGAUAUCAGGAGGAACACCGGUGGCGAAGGCGGGUCUCUGGGCCGUAACUGACGCUGAGGAGCGAAAGCAUGGGGAGCGAACAGG
RNAcentral lists this ribosomal RNA (253 nucleotides) under uncultured bacterium. Its description in RNAcentral is "partial 16S ribosomal RNA". It matches the Rfam family "Bacterial small subunit ribosomal RNA", at positions 524 to 776 of the family's 1533-position model. The record is from RNAcentral.